CCUACGGGAGGCAGCAGUAAGGAAUAUUGGACAAUGCUCGCAAGAGCGAUCCAGCCAUGCCGCGUGCAGGAAGAAUGCCCUAUGGGUAGUAAACUGCUUUUGAACUAGAGAAAACCCCAGUACGUGUACUGGGCUGAUAGUAUAGUUAGAAUAAGCAUCGGCUAACUUCGUGCCAGCAGCCGCGGUAAGACGAAGGAUGCAAGCGUUAUCCGGAUUCAUUGGGUUUAAACGGGAGCGUAGGUGGACUGAUAAGUCAGUGGUGAAAUCUCCGAGCUUAACUCGGAAAUUGCCAUUGAUACUGUUGGUCUUAGAGUACAGUUGCUGUGGGCGGAAUAUGACAUGUAGUGGUGAAAUACAUAGAGAUGUCAUAGAACACCGAUUGCGAAGGCAGCUCACAAAGCUGUAACUGACACUGAGCUCGAAAGUGCGGGGAUCAAACAGGAUUAGACUACCCUGGUAGUCCGCACCGUAAACGAUGAUUACUCGCUGCUAGGGGCAACCUUAGUGGCUUAGCGAAAGCGAUAGAAUCCACGUGGAGACGCGCGACGGUAGAAGUAAGUAAGUAGAGAGNGAGAGNGCGACGGACGACGACGAGGGAGGAGG
This 603-nucleotide ribosomal RNA is filed under the name uncultured bacterium. RNAcentral describes it as "bacterial SSU rRNA". The stretch from base 1 to 533 matches the Rfam family "Bacterial small subunit ribosomal RNA", at positions 338 to 873 of the family's 1533-position model. The record is from RNAcentral.